AUACGUAGGGGGCGAGCGUUGUCCGGAAUGACUGGGCGUAAAGGGCGUGUAGGCGGCCGAUUAAGUCUGGAGUGAAAGUCCCGCUUUCAAGGUGGGAAUUGCUUUGGAGACUGGUUGGCUUGAGUGCGGAAGAGGUAAGUGGAAUUCCCAGUGUAGCGGUGAAAUGCGUAGAGAUUGGGAGGAACACCAGUGGCGAAGGCGACUUACUGGGCCGUAACUGACGCUGAGGCGCGAAAGCGGGGGGAGCGAACAGGAUUAGAUACCCUGGUAGUCCACGCUGUAAACGAUGAAUGCUAGGUGUAGGGGGUAUCGACCCCUCCUGUGCCGGAGUAAACGCAAUAAGCAUUCCGCCUGGGGAGUACGGCCGCAAGGUUGAAACUCAAAUGAAUUGACGGGG
This 397-nucleotide ribosomal RNA is filed under the name uncultured bacterium. RNAcentral's name for it is "partial 16S ribosomal RNA". It matches the Rfam family "Bacterial small subunit ribosomal RNA", at positions 523 to 918 of the family's 1533-position model. The record is from RNAcentral.